Long non-coding RNA from Hibiscus syriacus, 142 nucleotides. RefSeq lists it as uncharacterized. The record is from RefSeq and is a predicted model, not a curated record. The transcript is spliced from 3 exons. NCBI's taxonomy places the organism in Eukaryota, Viridiplantae, Streptophyta, Magnoliopsida, Malvales, Malvaceae.
UUUGUUGACACGCAGUAGCUGUUUCUUAUUUUUUACAGUCUGGAGCCCGUCCUUGGGUAAUGACGGAAGUUCUGAAAGCACUGCAUGAAAUGAGUGUGCGUUGGAAGAAUAUAGGGCAUUAUAACACGAAGUGCAGUGGCUU